RNAcentral lists this ribosomal RNA (497 nucleotides) under uncultured bacterium. Its description in RNAcentral is "partial 16S ribosomal RNA". It matches the Rfam family "Bacterial small subunit ribosomal RNA", at positions 28 to 507 of the family's 1533-position model. The record is from RNAcentral.
GACGAACGCUGGCGGCGUGCCUAAUACAUGCAAGUUGAGCGCUGAAGGUUGGUACUUGUACCGACUGGAUGAGCAGCGAACGGGUGAGUAACGCGUGGGGAAUCUGCCUUUGAGCGGGGGACAACAUCUGGAAACGAAUGCUAAUACCGCAUAAAAACUUUAAACACAAGUUUUAAGUUUGAAAGAUGCAAUUGCAUCACUCAAAGAUGAUCCCGCGUUGUAUUAGCUAGUUGGUGAGGUAAAGGCUCACCAAGGCGAGGAUGCAUAGCCGACCUGAGAGGGUGCUCGGCCACAUUGGGACUGAGACACGGCCCAAACUCCUACGGGAGGCAGCAGUAGGGAAUCUUCGGCAAUGGACGAAAGUCUGACCGAGCAACGCCGCGUGAGUGAAGAAGGUUUUCGGAUCGUAAAACUCUGUUGGUAGAGAAGAACGUUGGUGAGAGUGGAAAGCUCAUCAAGUGACGGUAACUACCCAGAAAGGGACGGCUAACUACGUG